UGCGGGAUCGUCUAAUGGCAGGACAACGGUUUUUGGAGCCGUGUAUCGGGGUUCGAGUCCCUGUCCCGCAA
RNAcentral lists this transfer RNA (71 nucleotides) under Candidatus Dojkabacteria bacterium. Its description in RNAcentral is "tRNA-Gln". It matches the Rfam family "tRNA". From Rfam's summary of the family: Transfer RNA (tRNA) molecules are approximately 80 nucleotides in length. Their secondary structure includes four short double-helical elements and three loops (D, anti-codon, and T loops). The record is from RNAcentral.